RNAcentral lists this ribosomal RNA (468 nucleotides) under uncultured bacterium. RNAcentral's name for it is "partial 16S ribosomal RNA". It matches the Rfam family "Bacterial small subunit ribosomal RNA", at positions 28 to 507 of the family's 1533-position model. The record is from RNAcentral.
GACGAACGCUGGCGGCGUGCUUAGCACAUGCAAGUCGAACGGAAAGGCCCUGCUUUUGUGGGGUGCUCGAGUGGCGAACGGGUGAGUAACACGUGAGUAACCUGCCCUUGACUUUGGGAUAACUUCAGGAAACUGGGGCUAAUACCGGAUAGGAGCUCCUGCUGCAUGGUGGGGGUUGGAAAGUCUCGGCGGUUGGGGAUGGACUCGCGGCUUAUCAGCUUGUUGGUGGGGUAGUGGCUUACCAAGGCUUUGACGGGUAGCCGGCCUGAGAGGGUGACCGGCCACAUUGGGACUGAGAUACGGCCCAGACUCCUACGGGAGGCAGCAGUGGGGAAUAUUGCACAAUGGGCGGAAGCCUGAUGCAGCAACGCCGCGUGCGGGAUGACGGCCUUCGGGUUGUAAACCGCUUUCGCCUGUGACGAAGCGUGAGUGACGGUAAUGGGUAAAGAAGCACCGGCUAACUACGUG